Molecule: non-coding RNA, 242 nt
Organism: Xyrichtys novacula (pearly razorfish)
Lineage: Eukaryota; Metazoa; Chordata; Actinopteri; Labriformes; Labridae
Source: the annotation of a GenBank genome assembly
UAGGGUUAGGGUUGGGCUUGGAGCUAGGAUUUUUCUGAGUGCAAUGAACCAACUCCCGAGUCUCUUGGACGUUCCUAAAAAAAUUUGAUUUUUUCCCAUAGGAAUGCAUGGGUUAGGGUUAGGGUUAGGGUUGGAGCUAGGGUUAGGGUUAGGGUUAGGGUUGGAGUUAGGGUUAGUGUUGGAGCUAGGGUUAGGGUUGGGCUUGGAGCUAGGAUUUUUCUGAGUGCACUGAACCAACUCCC